GGGGUGGCGCGUGCUUACCAUGCAAGUCGAACGGUGAGCCAAGCUUGCUUGGUGGAUCAGUGGCGAACGGGUGAGUAACACGUGAGCAACCUGCCCUGGACUCUGGGAUAAGCGCUGGAAACGGCGUCUAAUACUGGAUAUGAGCUCUCAUCGCAUGGUGGGGGUUGGAAAGAUUUUUCGGUCUGGGAUGGGCUCGCGGCCUAUCAGCUUGUUGGUGAGGUAAUGGCUCACCAAGGCGUCGACGGGUAGCCGGCCUGAGAGGGUGACCGGCCACACUGGGACUGAGACACGGCCCAGACUCCUACGGGAGGCAGCAGUGGGGAAUAUUGCACAAUGGGCGGAAGCCUGAUGCAGCAACGCCGCGUGAGGGAUGACGGCCUUCGGGUUGUAAACCUCUUUUAGCAGGGAAGAAGCGAGAGUGACGGUACCUGCAGAAAAAGCGCCGGCUAACUACGUGCCAGCAGCCGCGGUAAUACGUAGGGCGCAAGCGUUAUCCGGAAUUAUUGGGCGUAAAGAGCUCGUAGGCGGUUUGUCGCGUCUGCUGUGAAAUCCCGAGGCUCAACCUCGGGCCUGCAGUGGGUACGGGCAGACUAGAGUGCGGUAGGGGAGAUUGGAAUUCCUGGUGUAGCGGUGGAAUGCGCAGAUAUCAGGAGGAACACCGAUGGCGAAGGCAGAUCUCUGGGCCGUAACUGACGCUGAGGAGCGAAAGGGUGGGGAGCAAACAGGCUUAGAUACCCUGGUAGUCCACCCCGUAAACGUUGGGAACUAGUUGUGGGGACCAUUCCACGGUUUCCGUGACGCAGCUAACGCAUUAAGUUCCCCGCCUGGGGAGUACGGCCGCAAGGCUAAAACUCAAAGGAAUUGACGGGGACCCGCACAAGCGGCGGAGCAUGCGGAUUAAUUCGAUGCAACGCGAAGAACCUUACCAAGGCUUGACAUACACCAGAACACCGUAGAAAUACGGGACUCUUUGGACACUGGUGAACAGGUGGUGCAUGGUUGUCGUCAGCUCGUGUCGUGAGAUGUUGGGUUAAGUCCCGCAACGAGCGCAACCCUCGUUCUAUGUUGCCAGCACGUAAUGGUGGGAACUCAUGGGAUACUGCCGGGGUCAACUCGGAGGAAGGUGGGGAUGACGUCAAAUCAUCAUGCCCCUUAUGUCUUGGGCUUCACGCAUGCUACAAUGGCCGGUACAAAGGGCUGCAAUACCGUGAGGUGGAGCGAAUCCCAAAAAGCCGGUCCCAGUUCGGAUUGAGGUCUGCAACUCGACCUCAUGAAGUCGGAGUCGCUAGUAAUCGCAGAUCAGCAACGCUGCGGUGAAUACGUUCCCGGGUCUUGUACACACCGCCCGUCAAGUCAUGAAAGUCGGUAACACCUGAAGCCGGUGGCCCAACCCUUGUGGAGGGAGCCGUCGAAGGUGGGAUCGGUAAUUAGGACUAAGUCGAACAAGAGCUCGC
Molecule: ribosomal RNA, 1454 nt
Filed under: Microbacterium proteolyticum
Lineage: Bacteria; Bacillati; Actinomycetota; Actinomycetes; Micrococcales; Microbacteriaceae
Description: bacterial SSU rRNA
Rfam family: Bacterial small subunit ribosomal RNA
Source: RNAcentral